This 1494-nucleotide ribosomal RNA is filed under the name Lactiplantibacillus plantarum. RNAcentral's name for it is "bacterial SSU rRNA". It matches the Rfam family "Bacterial small subunit ribosomal RNA". Lineage: Bacteria; Bacillati; Bacillota; Bacilli; Lactobacillales; Lactobacillaceae. The record is from RNAcentral.
GGCUCAGGACGAACGCUGGCGGCGUGCCUAAUACAUGCAAGUCGAACGAACUCUGGUAUUGAUUGGUGCUUGCAUCAUGAUUUACAUUUGAGUGAGUGGCGAACUGGUGAGUAACACGUGGGAAACCUGCCCAGAAGCGGGGGAUAACACCUGGAAACAGAUGCUAAUACCGCAUAACAACUUGGACCGCAUGGUCCGAGUUUGAAAGAUGGCUUCGGCUAUCACUUUUGGAUGGUCCCGCGGCGUAUUAGCUAGAUGGUGAGGUAACGGCUCACCAUGGCAAUGAUACGUAGCCGACCUGAGAGGGUAAUCGGCCACAUUGGGACUGAGACACGGCCCAAACUCCUACGGGAGGCAGCAGUAGGGAAUCUUCCACAAUGGACGAAAGUCUGAUGGAGCAACGCCGCGUGAGUGAAGAAGGGUUUCGGCUCGUAAAACUCUGUUGUUAAAGAAGAACAUAUCUGAGAGUAACUGUUCAGGUAUUGACGGUAUUUAACCAGAAAGCCACGGCUAACUACGUGCCAGCAGCCGCGGUAAUACGUAGGUGGCAAGCGUUGUCCGGAUUUAUUGGGCGUAAAGCGAGCGCAGGCGGUUUUUUAAGUCUGAUGUGAAAGCCUUCGGCUCAACCGAAGAAGUGCAUCGGAAACUGGGAAACUUGAGUGCAGAAGAGGACAGUGGAACUCCAUGUGUAGCGGUGAAAUGCGUAGAUAUAUGGAAGAACACCAGUGGCGAAGGCGGCUGUCUGGUCUGUAACUGACGCUGAGGCUCGAAAGUAUGGGUAGCAAACAGGAUUAGAUACCCUGGUAGUCCAUACCGUAAACGAUGAAUGCUAAGUGUUGGAGGGUUUCCGCCCUUCAGUGCUGCAGCUAACGCAUUAAGCAUUCCGCCUGGGGAGUACGGCCGCAAGGCUGAAACUCAAAGGAAUUGACGGGGGCCCGCACAAGCGGUGGAGCAUGUGGUUUAAUUCGAAGCUACGCGAAGAACCUUACCAGGUCUUGACAUACUAUGCAAAUCUAAGAGAUUAGACGUUCCCUUCGGGGACAUGGAUACAGGUGGUGCAUGGUUGUCGUCAGCUCGUGUCGUGAGAUGUUGGGUUAAGUCCCGCAACGAGCGCAACCCUUAUUAUCAGUUGCCAGCAUUAAGUUGGGCACUCUGGUGAGACUGCCGGUGACAAACCGGAGGAAGGUGGGGAUGACGUCAAAUCAUCAUGCCCCUUAUGACCUGGGCUACACACGUGCUACAAUGGAUGGUACAACGAGUUGCGAACUCGCGAGAGUAAGCUAAUCUCUUAAAGCCAUUCUCAGUUCGGAUUGUAGGCUGCAACUCGCCUACAUGAAGUCGGAAUCGCUAGUAAUCGCGGAUCAGCAUGCCGCGGUGAAUACGUUCCCGGGCCUUGUACACACCGCCCGUCACACCAUGAGAGUUUGUAACACCCAAAGUCGGUGGGGUAACCUUUUAGGAACCAGCCGCCUAAGGUGGGACAGAUGAUUAGGG